GCUACAAUGCCUUCCUAAAGAAUCCAUGUUGAACUUUUGCAAACUUUGUCACAUUACAUCCUCAAACUUUAGCGUACUUUUGGAGAUUUUAUGUGAUAACCCAACACAAAGUACGACACAAGUCUUCACUAAAAGCAAAAAAAAAAAGGUUCGUAUAAAGAAAAGUUAGUUUUACUUUUCGUCAAUACUCUUAGUGAGCACUUUGUAGGAAUACACUUAGAUUCAGUUUCUUGGGGUUUUUUCUACCAGCUUUCGACAUUUAAAUACCUUUUCAUGCAUGUUUCUCUGCAAAGUGGCUCAAGCUCAAUAAAAUUGGAUAGAGGACAUUUCUAAACAUUAAUUUUCUAUUUUUUCCCAAAUAUUCAUUGAGUCUUACGUCUGAACUUUGGCUUUGCCAUUUUAACACAUGAACAAGCUUUGAUCUGAACUAUUUCCAUCUAUCUUUGUGUCAACGAAGUACCUUGUUAGUUAUAAAUGAAGUCUACAAAUGUAAGUUUGGUACUGUCUGUCUAUUAAGAGUUCUUAUGGCUUUUUUCCAUAAGAGAGAGGUUUUCAUGGUUCUUCCACGCGAGCAAGAUUUUAAGAUUACAUACCAGUGUUUUAGCAUUCAGUUUUAGCAUUUAAAAAUUCCCAGAGCUUUUACUUUUAUAGAAAGAAUUGAGCUAAACAUUUUUGUUUGAAUGGUUUGGUUGCAAUAUUUCUUAUUGAAAGCAAAAAAAAAGUACAGUUAAGGCAAUAGCAGGAUACAAAUGCUGCCCAUAAAUGGUGCCUCAGCUCUCCUCAGGCUCUUAGUCUGCUUCGUUUUAGAGAAGAAAAGAAAAAAAAAAAAGCUCAUAAGCUACGAAUUGACAGAAAGCCUCGAGAAACUUCAAAAGAGAGAACUGAGUCAGGAAUCUAUCAAAGCAAGAGAAAGACCAGAGAGACAGAGAGAAAAUGAAAUCCCCCUCUGAAGCUGGAGAUGGAAAGUAAGAUAAGGGCCUCAACCGCAGCCUGUCACCAGAUGAGCUGUCAGCCGGUCCGGAUGUGACAGGCAGGAAGUUCAGUUCAAAAUUGCUUCGGCUCAAAUUGCUGGCCUUGGCGACAGCAGCAACCUGUCACUCUGUGGAGCUUUUGCAAUUCCGGUGAAUUAGGCUGGGAAAGCUGGAUAACCUAAUCAUGGUAUCCCAUGAUAUGAAACAUCCAAAUGUUUCGUCAAGACCGAGUCAAGUGUUGGUUGGUUCUGAAAUAUAUUUCAUGCAAACAAUAACACAUUAAGUCCUAAAAGUGUCACAGAUCUACACAGUCUGCAUGGCAUGGGUCAGCCGAGGAGGAGGACGUUUUCUAAUUGUGGGAUCAUUUUGAUCUUAUCACAGAAUAAGGUGAAAUAAGGAUUUGCUCCCAGGUCUUGUCUUGCUGUAACCGGAGCUCUUCCACGAUGCUGAGGCUUCAUCGCCUGGCAUGAGGGGGGAUGAACCGGUUAACACUCUGUGAAAAAACCCUGGUGUGUCCAGAAAGCAGGCGAUUGAACUGAACCAGUUCAAGUUUGUCACGAUUGUUAAUUGUGUUUAUUUGUAUUUUAACGCUAAUCACUCUGUGUAAUUACAAGAAAUUAGUAACACUGAUGCACUUUACUUUCUCCUCCGAUGACAACCUGCGGCAGCAGCUGAUGUUUCUAAAUAAAAACAUGCAAAUGAA
This is a long non-coding RNA of Xiphophorus couchianus (Monterrey platyfish), 1674 nucleotides long. RefSeq lists it as uncharacterized. The transcript is spliced from 2 exons. NCBI's taxonomy places the organism in Eukaryota, Metazoa, Chordata, Actinopteri, Cyprinodontiformes, Poeciliidae. The record is from RefSeq and is a predicted model, not a curated record.